RNAcentral lists this unclassified non-coding RNA (764 nucleotides) under Entelexis paramagnoliae. Its description in RNAcentral is "Starmerella magnoliae sequence contains 28S rRNA gene". It matches the Rfam family "Eukaryotic large subunit ribosomal RNA", at positions 1 to 913 of the family's 3401-position model. The record is from RNAcentral. Lineage: Eukaryota; Fungi; Ascomycota; Dipodascomycetes; Dipodascales; Trichomonascaceae.
AAUUCGACCUCAGCGUAGUAAGAUUACCCGCUGAACUUAAGCAUAUCAAUAAGCGGAGGAAAAGAAACCAACAGGGAUUGCCCUAGUAAUGGCGAAUGAACAGGCAAAAGCUCAGAUUUGAAACCCUCGGGAUUGUAAUCUGGAGACCUGGAUUUGGCACGCUGACCAAGUCUUCUGGAACGGAGCGCCAUGGAGGGUGACAGCCCCGUAGCAGCAGCCGCAGUAAAUCCGGGUCGACGAGUCGAGUUGUUUGGGAAUGCAGCUCUAAGUGGGUGGUAUGCUCCAUCUAAAGCUAAAUAUUGGCGAGAGACCGAUAGCGAACAAGUACUGUGAAGGAAAGAUGAAAAGAACUUUGAAAAGAGAGUGAAAAAGUACGUGAAAUUGUUGAAAUGGAAGGCAAUGAGGUGCGAUUGACCCGGACGUUUGCGGGCAGCACAAAAGCGCAGGCCGCCUCGGCAUUGCCUGCGUGCAUACUGCCUCGCGGACCACCGGUUCUAACAACGCCUUAUUGCACCCGUCUUGAAACACGGACCAAGGAGUCUAUUGCCUAUGCGAGUGUUUGGGUGGCAAACCCAUACGCGCAGUGAAAGCACACGGUUCGAACCUUACGGGGGCAGAACCGGCCGAACUCUCCAGGGAGUAUUGAGCAAGCAGAGGUGAUGGGACCCGAAAGAUGGUGAACUAUGCCUGAAUAGGGUGAAGCCAGAGGAAACUCUGGUGGAGGCUCGCAGCGGUUCUGACGUGCAAAUCGAUCGUCGAAUUUG